Molecule: long non-coding RNA, 217 nt
Organism: Sapajus apella (tufted capuchin)
Lineage: Eukaryota; Metazoa; Chordata; Mammalia; Primates; Cebidae
Exons: 3
Source: RefSeq, a predicted model, not a curated record
UGUCAGGGUCAGGAUGCGUGUACCUCCAGACAUCCCUGAGAUAUAACAUCCUACCUAAGAAAAAAGAGAAAGAACCCUUCGCUCUGCAGGUUAAUACUCUCCCCACGAAUUGUGAUGGAGUGGAUGCUCGCAGAAAGUUCCAGAUUCACAUCAACAUUAGUUAUACUGGGGACCGACCCAGCUCCAACAUGGUCAUUGUUGAUGUGAAGAUGGUGUC